CUCUCCGUCUGUCUAUCUCUGCGGAUCUGACACGCGGAGCUGCCUGUUAGGGAAGCAUACACAUGUUCUGCAUUCUGACAGCAAAUUUUAUAUUCUCUGUGUGGGCUGUAUGGGAAUUAAAAGACAAUCAUGAAGUUACGUGUAUGGACAGUGCGCACUUAAAACUAACGUUAGCCUUGGCCACUCUGAACUGCGCAUCACUCGAUCCGAUGGGAGCUUGUUGGCAGCGCUGCUCAUUUGGAGAUUACUGCUGACUGCACAAACAUGGUGGCCUUCCCAGGUUACCCUGGGUACCACUUCAGAGCUCCAAGCUCAGGCCCACCCAUCUCUGACACUGGGACCCUUCUCCAUCACCAGGAUCCAUGGUGGAUGUGUGUCUAGGCGGAAAAUCACGUGUCACACUUCCUUAUCAACAUACAACGUUUACAUACCACUGUAUUAUAUUAUUAUAUUAUAUUAUAUUAUUAUAUGUAAUGUAUUGUAUUAUAUUAUUAAAGUAGCCUAGAAUAAGCAAAUAUUUAAUACAUUGUACCACAUCCAUGCCACAUAAGUAGGCCUUUUAUAAGCUGACUGAUCACAUUUGGUUUUAUGUUUAGGCUACAUAUUGUAUGUCAUGCUUAUUGUUAAUAAAUUAGUGUAUUAUACUGUAUGAUUAGAUGCUGCUGUGUAUCAUAUGUAUCAUAUGGCGAUCAUCAGGACACAAUAGCAUGCGUUCAUAAGUUUGAC
This is a long non-coding RNA of Epinephelus fuscoguttatus (brown-marbled grouper), 726 nucleotides long. RefSeq lists it as uncharacterized. The transcript is spliced from 3 exons. The record is from RefSeq and is a predicted model, not a curated record. Lineage: Eukaryota; Metazoa; Chordata; Actinopteri; Perciformes; Serranidae.